UACUGUCUGUAUUUAAAACAGGACACAUUGUGUGUGUGUGUGUAGGAUUACUGACGGCAGGUAUAUAAGUGCAGACGGAGUGUGUGAGUGUGUGAGAGAGCAGCAUGCAGCAGAUCUACAGACAGAGCGACCAACAGUUUGAAGUUUAUACCACCGUGUUCUCCCCGCAAGUGUGCAGAGCGAGGAGCAGACAUGUGGAGGCAGAAAAGGUGAUGGUGGUGGUCUCUGAUCACAGGGCUGGUCUCCAGAGAGAUCUGGACCUGAGGCGAGGGGACCAGGUUCUGGUUCUGUUCAGAGAGGAGAACA
Long non-coding RNA from Trematomus bernacchii (emerald rockcod), 306 nucleotides. RefSeq lists it as uncharacterized. The record is from RefSeq and is a predicted model, not a curated record. The transcript is spliced from 3 exons. Lineage: Eukaryota; Metazoa; Chordata; Actinopteri; Perciformes; Nototheniidae.